CAAAUUUGUGACCAGAUACAACUGACCUGUGUUCUUGGUAUUACAGUUUGACUCCUUUAUUAUCCUUCAGCAUGAAGGCGGUUUUGUACUGUUAUAAUUUAUCACCCUUGCUUUCCUUUUUCAAGAAAAUAAUUCAUCACAUUUUAUAUUCAUCAAGAAUGACUACUAUACCAUAAAGUAAAUAAUUAUCAUUACCCAUAGAGAUUGCUAUCUUCUACGCAAAGCAGAUGGUAUG
Molecule: long non-coding RNA, 235 nt
Filed under: Populus tremula
Lineage: Eukaryota; Viridiplantae; Streptophyta; Magnoliopsida; Malpighiales; Salicaceae
Description: long non-coding RNA (PTRE_LNC002277)
Source: RNAcentral